UUGCCAGCCGCCGCGGUAAUAACCGCGCCUCAAGUGGUAGUCACGUUUAUUGGGCCUAAAGCGUCCGUAGCCGGUUUGAUAAGUUUCUGGUGAAAUCCACUAGUAGACUAGUGGAACUGCUGGAAAUACUAUCAGGCUUGAGACCGGGAGAGGUUGGGAGUAUCCCACGGGUAAGAGUAAAAUCUUUUAAUCCGUGGAGGACCACCUGUGGCGAAGGC
This 218-nucleotide ribosomal RNA is filed under the name uncultured archaeon. RNAcentral's name for it is "partial 16S ribosomal RNA". It matches the Rfam family "Archaeal small subunit ribosomal RNA", at positions 455 to 673 of the family's 1478-position model. The record is from RNAcentral.